CUACGCUCGAGCUAGAGCUGGAUUUACUUAGAAAACAAACCAUAAAGGAGGUAUUUUGACACUACAGUUCACUGCAGAAGUUACGGAAGUAGACGAGAAUCAUCAGACAUCUUUGAACCACGUAGAAAUCGAUAUUUCGGUUCAUAUGUCCAUCUCCAUCACGCUGGAAUCGGCCAUCACCUCUGUCUCAUCUGACAUUCAUUAUCAGGGGGCGAGGUAAGCGUUAAAUGUUCCGGAUAUUGAUGGGAACCUCUGCAUCAUGACAUGGACUAAAUGUGUGGACCAGCAGAAACCGUGAAUCACAUUUGCAGGUGUUUUUUUAGCAGUUCC
Long non-coding RNA from Amphiprion ocellaris (clown anemonefish), 330 nucleotides. RefSeq lists it as uncharacterized. The record is from RefSeq and is a predicted model, not a curated record. Lineage: Eukaryota; Metazoa; Chordata; Actinopteri; Pomacentridae. The transcript is spliced from 4 exons.